CUGGCGGCGUGCUUAACACAUGCAAGUCGAACGCGAAAGGGACUUCGGUCCUGGAGUAAAGUGGCGGCACGGGUGAGUAACGCGUAGAUAACCUGUCUUCAUGUCUGGAAUAAUACGCCGAAAGGGGUACUAAUACCGGAUAUUCUUGCUUUUCAUAAGUUAUGCAAGCAAAGGUGGCCUCUGCAUAUGCUACUGCAUGAAGAGGGGUCUGCGUACCAUUAGCUAGUAGGUGGGGUAAUGGCCUACCUAGGCGACGAUGGUUAGCGGGUCUGAGAGGAUGAUCCGCCACACUGGCACUGGAACACGGGCCAGACUCCUACGGGAGGCAGCAGUGAGGAAUAUUGCGCAAUGGGGGAAACCCUGACGCAGCGACGCCGCGUGAGUGAGGAAGGCCUUCGGGUCGUAAAGCUCUGUCAAGAGGAAAGAAGUGUACAAUGGCUAAUACCUGUUGUAUUUGACGGUACCUCUAAAGGAAGCACCGGCUAACUCCGUGCCAGCCGCCGC
This 504-nucleotide ribosomal RNA is filed under the name uncultured bacterium. Its description in RNAcentral is "bacterial SSU rRNA". It matches the Rfam family "Bacterial small subunit ribosomal RNA", at positions 36 to 518 of the family's 1533-position model. The record is from RNAcentral.